Molecule: long non-coding RNA, 691 nt
Organism: Bubalus bubalis (water buffalo)
Lineage: Eukaryota; Metazoa; Chordata; Mammalia; Artiodactyla; Bovidae
Exons: 3
Source: RefSeq, a predicted model, not a curated record
ACCCGAACUGGAGCUCGGUUACCCAGAACUCACCUUUUCAGCAAACUCCACCGAACCGAACACAACCAAGAACUGGUUGGGAAGCAGAAAAGCCUGCCGUGGGAACAGGGAUUUCUAAAGCCAGUGAAAAGAGGUUGCAUCAGGGUCUCUUCCAAUGAGUCGGCUCUUCGCAUCAGGUGGCCAAAGGAUUGGAGCUUCCACUUCAGCAUCAGUUGCUCCAGAUCUACCAUGUCAGAAUUCAGUGUGGGAGAAAUCAUCGGUUGAUUGUUAUGCUCAGGAUCUGGACAAAAGAGUACUUUAAAGUUUGCCAAUCAAAGACGUCUAAGUAGGACACGGAGAGCAGGCGGAACACGGGCGGCGAGGCCAUGGCAGCACGUGUAACUCUGGAAUGCACAGCUGCACUCCACAGCACAGCUGGGAGGGAGCAGUGCCGGCCCAGUCAGCCCAGCCCGCCCUCAGUCCUGGCGCCUUCAGAGCACCGGCCGGCUGCCGAGCCUUGCAUCCGGAGUCUUGAGGUGUAUGAGGAUGAAGAUAUGGUCCUUCUCAGGAAGGUCACCAUCCAGAGGAGGUUAAGGAAUACACGCUAUGGAGUAGAAAUAGCCCUGAUGUGAAGGCUGCCAUCAGAAUUCAAUUUCAUAGCACCAUUCUGAGCAACUGUUUCAUUUUCUGUAACAAAGAGUAAUAAUAUAUA